AAACUCAUCUGCUUGUAAAUUCAUUGUGCAAAAUAACUCCAGGAUACCAUUACCUCUGUUACCUAUUAUAUUCCAUGACUGAUCACAUCAACCAGUGAGUGCUUAACAACUUCUACUGAUACCGUGAUUCCAAUGAAUUGACGUAUAUGAGCGUAGUUCUCAGGUACGCCGGGAGCUGGAUUCCAUCCCUGAGGAUAGUGAUUGAUGGUAUAGAGUUUUGAUAGAAAACAGGUAAAAAAAAUAUACCAAAAGAAAGAAGAGGUGAAACAGAGUAGAGAGAAUCGGG
This 286-nucleotide long non-coding RNA is filed under the name Oryza brachyantha (malo sina). RNAcentral's name for it is "long non-coding RNA (OBRA_LNC003600)". The record is from RNAcentral. Lineage: Eukaryota; Viridiplantae; Streptophyta; Magnoliopsida; Poales; Poaceae.